UGUUAUUGUUACCAAUGUUGUGCCGAGAAACGCAUGCCCGUCGAGGAUUGCAUGCAACUCAUGGAAAUGCGCACCAGUUAUAGUAGAGUGGUCCAUGUUAAUGUACAAUUUAAAACCCAUUUAAUUUUUAUUUGUGGGGCUAAUGAGUGAUGAGUAAUGUUCUGAAUGUAAUUCUCGGGGGUAUGCGUUUCUCGGCACAACACGGGUAGCCCAGUGACU
Molecule: non-coding RNA, 219 nt
Organism: Xyrichtys novacula (pearly razorfish)
Lineage: Eukaryota; Metazoa; Chordata; Actinopteri; Labriformes; Labridae
Source: the annotation of a GenBank genome assembly